GCUUCUCCGAGUGAGCGAGGCUGCCUGGGGGGUCCCGCGGUCUCCCGGCCGUCGCCUUCCCACUGCUGGAGACAGCGCAACGGCGGGCGCACCCUGCAUUCAGGUGGCAGUAUCGAAGCCAAAAGCUUCCAGAAGUGGUUUCUAAAAAAGAAGACUUGAAUGUACAUGAGUAAGCAAACACAGGAAUCCAGAAAAUCCACAGGCUAUAGAAAUGUGUACAACAUUGCUGUGACGGGAGCAACAGCAUAGAGCAUGCCAAGAUCUAGCAAGCAAUUUGAAGUCUCAAGAGGAAGGCUUAGCCUAGAAGAAGGACCAUGGAGAUGAUGCUCUGUACAAAUCCAAUCCAGCAGAUUCACUCUCUGGCAAUGAACAGG
Molecule: long non-coding RNA, 374 nt
Organism: Microtus oregoni (creeping vole)
Lineage: Eukaryota; Metazoa; Chordata; Mammalia; Rodentia; Cricetidae
Exons: 4
Source: RefSeq, a predicted model, not a curated record